GAUGAAGAACGUAGCGAAAUGCGAUAAGUAAUGUGAAUUGCAGAAUUCAGUGAAUCAUCGAAUCUUUGAACGCACAUUGCGCCCGCCAGUAUUCUGGCGGGCAUGCCUGUUCGAGCGUCAUUUCAACCAUCAAGCCCCAGGCUUGUGUUGGGGACCUGCGGCUGCCGCAGGCCCUGAAAACCAGUGGCGGGCUCGCUGUCACACCGGGCGUAGUAGAUUUUAUCUCGCUCAGGGCGUGCUGCGGGUUCCGGCCGUUAAAAAGCCUUUUUUACCCAAGGUUGACCUCGGAUCAGGUAGGAAGACCCGCUGAACUUAAGCAUAUCAGUAAGCGGAGGA
RNAcentral lists this unclassified non-coding RNA (336 nucleotides) under soil metagenome. Its description in RNAcentral is "partial contains 5.8S ribosomal RNA, internal transcribed spacer 2, and large subunit ribosomal RNA". The stretch from base 1 to 120 matches the Rfam family "5.8S ribosomal RNA", at positions 35 to 154 of the family's 154-position model. The record is from RNAcentral.